RNAcentral lists this ribosomal RNA (497 nucleotides) under uncultured bacterium. RNAcentral's name for it is "partial 16S ribosomal RNA". It matches the Rfam family "Bacterial small subunit ribosomal RNA", at positions 28 to 507 of the family's 1533-position model. The record is from RNAcentral.
GAUGAACGCUGGCGGCGUGCCUAAUACAUGCAAGUCGAGCGAACAGACGAGGAGCUUGCUCCUCUGACGUUAGCGGCGGACGGGUGAGUAACACGUGGAUAACCUACCUAUAAGACUGGGAUCACUUCGGGAAACCGGAGCUCAUACCGGAUAAUAUCUUGAACCGCAUGGUUCAAUAGUGAAAGACGGUUUUGCUGUCACUUAUAGAUGGAUCCGCGCCGCAUUAGCUAGUUGGUAAGGUAACGGCUUACCAAGGCAACGUUGCGUAGCCGACCUGAGAGGGUGUCCGGCCACACGGGAACUGAAACACGGUCCAGACUCCUACGGGAGGCAGCAGUAGGGAAUCUUCCGCAAUGGGCGAAAGCCUGACGGAGCAACGCCGCGUGAGUGAUGAAGGUCUUCGGAUCGUAAAACUCUGUUAUUAGGGAAGAACAAAUGUGUAAGUAAAUAUGCACGUCUUGACGGUACCUAAUCAGAAAGCCACGGCUAACUACGUG